CUGCUAAUACCGCAUAAUGUUAUUUGGGGGCAUCCUGAAUACCAAAGCUUUANGUGCUGAAAGAUGGUCUCGCGUCUGAUUAGCUAGAUGCGGGUAACGGCCACCAUGGCGACGAUCAGUAGCCGGUCUGAGAGGGAUGAACGGCCACAUUGGGACUGAGAUACGGCCCAGACUCCUACGGGAGGCAGCAGUGGGGAAUAUUGGGCAAUGGGGGAAACCCUGACCCAGCAACGCCGCGUGAAGGAAGAAGGCCUUCGGGUUGUAAACUUCUUUUAGCAGGGACGAAGAACGUGACGGUACCUGCAGAAAAAGCAACGGCUAACUACGUG
Molecule: ribosomal RNA, 329 nt
Filed under: uncultured bacterium
Lineage: Bacteria
Description: bacterial SSU rRNA
Rfam family: Bacterial small subunit ribosomal RNA
Source: RNAcentral